GACGAACGCUGGCGGCGUGCUUAACACAUGCCAGUCGAACGAAGAGCGACGGAAGCUUGCUUCUAUCAAUCUUAGUGGCGAACGGGUGAGUAACGCGUAAUCAACCUGCCCUUCAGAGGGGGACAACAGUUGGAAACGACUGCUAAUACCGCAUACGAUCUAAUCUCGGCAUCGAGGAUAGAUGAAAGGUGGCCUCUACAUGUAAGCUAUCACUGAAGGAGGGGAUUGCGUCUGAUUAGCUAGUUGGAGGGGUAACGGCCCACCAAGGCGAUGAUCAGUAGCCGGUCUGAGAGGAUGAACGGCCACAUUGGGACUGAGACACGGCCCAGACUCCUACGGGAGGCAGCAGUGGGGAAUCUUCCGCAAUGGACGAAAGUCUGACGGAGCAACGCCGCGCGAGUGAUGACGGCCUUCGGGUUGUAAAGCUCUGUUAAUCGGGACGAAAGGCCUUCUUGCGAAUAGUGAGAAGGAUUGACGGUACCGGAAUAGAAAGCCACGGCUAACUACGUG
Molecule: ribosomal RNA, 510 nt
Filed under: uncultured bacterium
Lineage: Bacteria
Description: partial 16S ribosomal RNA
Rfam family: Bacterial small subunit ribosomal RNA
Source: RNAcentral